GGCGAGCGGCGGACGGGUGAGUAAUGUCUGGGAAACUGCCUGAUGGAGGGGGAUAACUACUGGAAACGGUAGCUAAUACCGCAUAACGUCGCAAGACCAAAGAGGGGGACCUUCGGGCCUCUUGCCAUCAGAUGUGCCCAGAUGGGAUUAGCUAGUAGGUGGGGUAACGGCUCACCUAGGCGACGAUCCCUAGCUGGUCUGAGAGGAUGACCAGCCACACUGGAACUGAGACACGGUCCAGACUCCUACGGGAGGCAGCAGUGGGGAAUAUUGCACAAUGGGCGCAAGCCUGAUGCAGCCAUGCCGCGUGUAUGAAGAAGGCCUUCGGGUUGUAAAGUACUUUCAGCGGGGAGGAAGGCGUUGAGGUUAAUAACCUCAGCGAUUGACGUUACCCGCAGAAGAAGCACCGGCUAACUCCGUGCCAGCAGCCGCGGUAAUACGGAGGGUGCAAGCGUUAAUCGGAAUUACUGGGCGUAAAGCGCACGCAGGCGGUCUGUCAAGUCGGAUGUGAAAUCCCCGGGCUCAACCUGGGAACUGCAUUCGAAACUGGCAGGCUAGAGUCUUGUAGAGGGGGGUAGAAUUCCAGGUGUAGCGGUGAAAUGCGUAGAGAUCUGGAGGAAUACCGGUGGCGAAGGCGGCCCCCUGGACAAAGACUGACGCUCAGGUGCGAAAGCGUGGGGAGCAAACAGGAUUAGAUACCCUGGUAGUCCACGCCGUAAACGAUGUCGACUUGGAGGUUGUGCCCUUGAGGCGUGGCUUCCGGAGCUAACGCGUUAAGUCGACCGCCUGGGGAGUACGGCCGCAAGGUUAAAACUCAAAUGAAUUGACGGGGGCCCGCACAAGCGGUGGAGCAUGUGGUUUAAUUCGAUGCAACGCGAAGAACCUUACCUACUCUUGACAUCCAGAGAACUUUCCAGAGAUGGAUUGGUGCCUUCGGGAACUCUGAGACAGGUGCUGCAUGGCUGUCGUCAGCUCGUGUUGUGAAAUGUUGGGUUAAGUCCCGCAACGAGCGCAACCCUUAUCCUUUGUUGCCAGCGGUCCGGCCGGGAACUCAAAGGAGACUGCCAGUGAUAAACUGGAGGAAGGUGGGGAUGACGUCAAGUCAUCAUGGCCCUUACGAGUAGGGCUACACACGUGCUACAAUGGCGCAUACAAAGAGAAGCGACCUCGCGAGAGCAAGCGGACCUCAUAAAGUGCGUCGUAGUCCGGAUUGGAGUCUGCAACUCGACUCCAUGAAGUCGGAAUCGCUAGUAAUCGUAGAUCAGAAUGCUACGGUGAAUACGUUCCCGGGCCUUGUACACACCGCCCGUCACACCAUGGGAGUGGGUUGCAAAAGAAGUAGGUAGCUUAACCUUCGGGAGGGCGCUUACCACUUUGUGAUUCAUGACUGGGGUGAAGUCGUAACAAGGUAACCGUAGGGGAACCUGCGGCU
RNAcentral lists this ribosomal RNA (1432 nucleotides) under Enterobacter sp. U1PS4. Its description in RNAcentral is "16S ribosomal RNA". It matches the Rfam family "Bacterial small subunit ribosomal RNA". The record is from RNAcentral. Lineage: Bacteria; Pseudomonadati; Pseudomonadota; Gammaproteobacteria; Enterobacterales; Enterobacteriaceae.